RNAcentral lists this long non-coding RNA (449 nucleotides) under Salvia miltiorrhiza (redroot sage). Its description in RNAcentral is "long non-coding RNA (SMIL_LNC001359)". Lineage: Eukaryota; Viridiplantae; Streptophyta; Magnoliopsida; Lamiales; Lamiaceae. The record is from RNAcentral.
UACAUCUUAAAAUAAAGUUGAGAAAUGGUAUACAGACUUCAUAUAUUAUUUUUGCAAUGUAGCUACACUAAAUUAUAAAUUAUAAAGUCAAUAUAUUUAAACAAUGCAAACUUUAAUUUAGUCUAAAAACAAUAAUGUCUAGGGGUUCCCUUAAAUAAAAAAUUUAUAAAGUCAAUAUUGUAAUUGCAUGUAAAGAUGUUAAUGUGGUGACAUGUAAGGGUCCUAAAACUAUUUCUGAAAAAAAUAAAAAUAAAGCUUCAAUACUAAAUUGUUGGAUAAAACAAUAUUCACCUCAAAAAAGAAAAAAAAGGACUAAAACAAUGUACUCCCUCCGUCCUCGUAAAAUGUAUCCAAUUUAUCAUUUUCAUCCGUCAUUAUAAAAUAUAUAUAAUCUAUUUUUGAUAAGUUGUCCACUCACAAUAAAAUAGGACUCUUACUCCACUCACAAC